Molecule: long non-coding RNA, 403 nt
Organism: Mytilus trossulus (common blue mussel)
Lineage: Eukaryota; Metazoa; Mollusca; Bivalvia; Mytilida; Mytilidae
Exons: 5
Source: RefSeq, a predicted model, not a curated record
UGACCGUCUGUUUCCGUGUUUUCACUGCAAGCGAAAAAACAAAAAUGUUCAGGAGUUUUUAGAUAUUUCCCAAGAUGUGAGGCAUAUAUCACUGGAACAGAGACGAUUCCAAACUUAGAAAAAAAUCCGUGUCCAGUCAAUGUGAUCCUUGUCCAGUCAAGUUACUAUUAUAGUCAAUGUGAUCCAUGUCCAGCCAAGUUGUUAUUAUAGAUCUGGGAAAGUGCAAUAGAUGUUCUGGUGUUCGAUGGAAAGAGUCACACCCUGCUUGUAGAAUACAUUUGUACAUCAUUUAGGAUAUAAUGGAGGAUUGGAAUGAGAAACUUGUUACAGCUGCUAGGGAGGGAGAUAAAGAAGCCUUAAAAUUGUGCUUACAGAAUGAUGUAGAAAUUGAUUAUCAAGGAGU